UACCAGCACCCCGAGUGGUCGGGACGAUUAUUGGGCCUAAAGCAUCCGUAGCCGGUUUUACAAGUCCUCCGUUAAAUCCAGCUGCUUAACAGAUGGGCUGCGGAGGAUACUAUAAGACUAGGAGGCAGGAGAGGCAAGCGGUACUCAGUGGGUAGGGGUAAAAUCCGUUGAUCCAUUGAAGACCACCAGUGGCGAAGGCGGCUUGCCAGAAUGCGCUCGACGGUGAGGGAUGAAAGCUGGGGGAGCAAACAGG
This 253-nucleotide ribosomal RNA is filed under the name uncultured bacterium. RNAcentral describes it as "partial 16S ribosomal RNA". It matches the Rfam family "Archaeal small subunit ribosomal RNA", at positions 474 to 727 of the family's 1478-position model. The record is from RNAcentral.